CCUACGGGUGGCAGCAGGGGGGAAUAUUGCACAAUGGGGGAAACCCUGAUGCAGCGACGCCGCGUGAGUGAAGAAGUAUUUCGGUAUGUAAAGCUCCAUCAGCAGGGAAGAAACCCACCCUCCGGGGUGGCUGACGGUACCUGACUAAGAAGCCCCGUCUAACUACGUGCCAGCAGCCGCGGUAAUACGAAGGGGGCAAGCGUUAUCCGGAUUUACUGGGUGAAAAGGGAGCGUAGGUGGCAAGGCAGGUCAGAUGCGAAAACCCGGGGCACAACCCCGGGAGUGCAUUUGAAACUGUCUGGCUAGAGUGCAGGAGAGGUAAGUGGAAUUCCUAGUGUAGCGGGGAAAUGCAUAGAUAUUAGGAGGAACACCAGUGGCGAAGGCGGCUUACUGGACUGUAACUGACACUGAGGCUCGAAAGCGUGGGGAGCAAACAGGAUUAGAUACCCGAGUAGUC
Molecule: ribosomal RNA, 457 nt
Filed under: uncultured bacterium
Lineage: Bacteria
Description: partial 16S ribosomal RNA
Rfam family: Bacterial small subunit ribosomal RNA
Source: RNAcentral